UACGGGGGAUGCAAGCGUUAUCCGGAAUCAUUGGGCGUAAAGCGCCUGUAGGUUGUUUAAUAAGUCUGUUGUUAAAGACUAGGGCUUAACCCUAGAAAAGCAAUGGAAACUACUAGACUAGAGUAUGGCAGGGGUAGAGGGAAUUUCUAGUGUAGCGGUGAAAUGCGUAGAUAUUAGAAAGAACACCAGUGGCGAAAGCGCUCUACUGGACCAUUACUGACACUCAGAGGCGAAAGCUAGGGUAGCAAAAGGGAUUAGAUACCCCUGUAGUCCUAGCCGUAAACGAUGGAUACUACAUGUUGUGCAUUCUGUACAGUAUGGUAGCUAACGCGUUAAGUAUCCCGCCUGGGGAGUACGCUCGCAAGGGUG
This 369-nucleotide ribosomal RNA is filed under the name uncultured phototrophic eukaryote. RNAcentral describes it as "SSU rRNA". It matches the Rfam family "Bacterial small subunit ribosomal RNA", at positions 524 to 896 of the family's 1533-position model. The record is from RNAcentral.